RNAcentral lists this transfer RNA (90 nucleotides) under Acidobacteriota bacterium. Its description in RNAcentral is "Acidobacteria bacterium (mine drainage metagenome) tRNA-Ser". It matches the Rfam family "tRNA". From Rfam's summary of the family: Transfer RNA (tRNA) molecules are approximately 80 nucleotides in length. Their secondary structure includes four short double-helical elements and three loops (D, anti-codon, and T loops). Further hydrogen bonds mediate the characteristic L-shaped molecular structure. tRNAs have two regions of fundamental functional importance: the anti-codon, which is responsible for specific mRNA codon recognition, and the 3' end, to which the tRNAs corresponding amino acid is attached (by aminoacyl-tRNA synthetases). tRNAs cope with the degeneracy of the genetic code in two manners: having more than one tRNA (with a specific anti-codon) for a particular amino acid; and 'wobble' base-pairing, i.e. permitting non-standard base-pairing at the 3rd anti-codon position. Lineage: Bacteria; Pseudomonadati; Acidobacteriota. The record is from RNAcentral. RNAcentral also lists the same sequence under 3 other names.
GGAGAGUUGCCAGAGCGGACGAAUGGGACGGUCUCGAAAACCGUUGAGGCUUCACGGUCUCCGAGGGUUCAAAUCCCUCACUCUCCGCCA